Molecule: ribosomal RNA, 601 nt
Filed under: Bacillus licheniformis DSM 13 = ATCC 14580
Lineage: Bacteria; Bacillati; Bacillota; Bacilli; Caryophanales; Bacillaceae
Description: bacterial SSU rRNA
Rfam family: Bacterial small subunit ribosomal RNA
Source: RNAcentral
GUCGAGCGGACCGACGGGAGCUUGCUCCCUUAGGUCAGCGGCGGACGGGUGAGUAACACGUGGGUAACCUGCCUGUAAGACUGGGAUAACUCCGGGAAACCGGGGCUAAUACCGGAUGCUUGAUUGAACCGCAUGGUUCAAUCAUAAAAGGUGGCUUUUAGCUACCACUUACAGAUGGACCCGCGGCGCAUUAGCUAGUUGGUGAGGUAACGGCUCACCAAGGCGACGAUGCGUAGCCGACCUGAGAGGGUGAUCGGCCACACUGGGACUGAGACACGGCCCAGACUCCUACGGGAGGCAGCAGUAGGGAAUCUUCCGCAAUGGACGAAAGUCUGACGGAGCAACGCCGCGUGAGUGAUGAAGGUUUUCGGAUCGUAAAACUCUGUUGUUAGGGAAGAACAAGUACCGUUCGAAUAGGGCGGCACCUUGACGGUACCUAACCAGAAAGCCACGGCUAACUACGUGCCAGCAGCCGCGGUAAUACGUAGGUGGCAAGCGUUGUCCGGAAUUAUUGGGCGUAAAGCGCGCGCAGGCGGUUUCUUAAGUCUGAUGUGAAAGCCCCCGGCUCAACCGGGGAGGGUCAUUGGAAACUGGGGAACUU